AAGACAGGAGAUGAUGAUUUAUGGAGGCGUUUAUCAGAUACAUAACACAAAGUCUGUUUCAUCGAGAGAAUCGAAGAAACAUAUCAUCACUGAUAAAGUGUCUUUUGGUGGUUAUUGUGGACGAAAAAUAAACACAUUUCAGCAACAAAAAACAAAACUAUGUGUGACUUCUGGGAGCUCGUCUUUAUCAGAAGCCUCAAAUACUUAAAGAUAAUUUGCCUCAAUAGAUAAUGAUACUACUGCUGUGAUACCCAGAUCCUACGCAUGUGUCUCAAUCCUUGCAAUGCACAGAGAAGUGCUCACUGAGCAUUUAUCUGUGUUGUUGAUGUUUUUGUAGAAGUCAUUAUCAUUGCUUUGCCUCCUUACACGUCUUUAGCCAAGUACAGGACAGUUGACUGCCUUCUGCGACGCCCGCAACGUUUCUUUAUUACAUAAUUACUUUUGUGUGCGGCCGCUAAUGUGAAUGUCAGUCACGGGGAUUUUGGUCGCAGAUGCUUAGUUCAUUCUUCAUUCAUCCUGCCGCAUGACUGUGUUUAGAGGUUGUUUGCAUUUUAUCACUAAGUAUACAUCAAAGAUGGUCCUUUAUACAUUUUUUUUUCAUUCCAUGUUUCAUUUUUCUGUGUUUGUGCAUGUGUUUUGUGUCGUUCCGUGUCGGUGUGUUCUGCGUCUACAUUGCCUCUGUGUGUGUUGUGAAGUCUGUAGAGAACCACAUGGACCGUAUAAACCCAAACUGCAUAGCAGGAGCUAGCGGCCCCUAUAAGGUAGUAUCAUUUACUGUACCGGCCGAGGCCCCCGGCUCUCUGUCUGUUCGUCCGUCUGUCCGUUUGGAAGAAUCACUGUAAAGCCAAGCUUGAAGGGGCAUGAAAAGGUCAAUUAAACUCUGCAAGAAGUACCGUGCACCAAACGCACACGCUCUGCAUGUUGUGGCUAGAGGUGGCACACUGGGGGAAGCUCUCAAAGUGAUUGUUUGGAUUUUUUUUUUUGUGUAUCUGGGAGAUACUCAUCCAAACACAGCAUAUGACCUCCAGUAGUGUUUUUUCUUUUUUGACUUUGGUCUUUUAUAAGGGGUUUAUAUACUGUUAAUAUACUGUAUAUUUAAACUGGCUAUUUUUGGAGGAUGAAAUACAUUUUUCUGCCUCUGCAUCUCCCGACCGCGUUGCUCUUCAAAAGAAUACCAACUAUGCUUGGUAAUGUCGCCUCCUCUGCUUGGUCUGAUAGUGAUUCCUCUGCAUAGAUCUGAGGACAUAUCUCUCCGUAUCACUGGGACACCUCUGACAUCCGCUCACAUAACCUCACCUCCGACCAGUAACACGUGUCCCUGCGUUUCUCACUGCUUUCUCCUCUCUAGCUGGACUGACUCUGCUGGCCCCAAAAGCAACAACAAAAAUAAAUCCUUUCGUCCUAGUAGAGUUGUCACAUACAGUAGACGUACUAACCUGCAUGCUCACUGUCCGGGCUUUAAAAGGCUUGCUAAUCAUGGUGGGUGUUGGAGGAAAUGAAUGUAACGCAUACGGUAUUUAUGACAAAUAGGCCUUAAAAAAAAAUCAAAAAUUAUUUUUUCAAACUAAGGCCUAUUACUUUAGCUUAAACCUUAAAACCUUGAUGUAUUUCUUUUCUUUUCCAGGUGGAAGCAGAUCUGGGCUACCCCGGAGGAAAGGCUCGAAUCAUUCAUAAAGAGUCGGAUAUAAUCAUGGCAUUUGCCAUCAAUAAGUCCAACUCCAACGAGAUAGUGUUGGCCUCCACUCAUGAUGUCCAGGAAGUGGACGUGUCAACGCUGGUGGCUGUGCAGCCCUUCACCUGGAUAGGGGACGAAUUUGAUAAGGAGUCCCGCAGGUGAGAUUCAGGGCAGAAUCAUAGGCGGCAUUUUGUCUGUCGUCAAAGGGAUCAACGUUGUGCAUAAUGCUUUAUAUUAAGCAUCAUUAACGUAUCAUGUUCUGGUUCCACACAUUCAAAUGAAAAAGGGAAACAACAAUCGUAACUGUACCGAGCAGAUCCUAACAGUC
Molecule: long non-coding RNA, 2003 nt
Organism: Gasterosteus aculeatus aculeatus (three-spined stickleback)
Lineage: Eukaryota; Metazoa; Chordata; Actinopteri; Perciformes; Gasterosteidae
Source: Ensembl